GGACUACCCGGGUAUCUAAUCCUGUUUGCUCCCCACGCUUUCGCAUCUCAGCGUCAGUACCGGGCCAGUGAGCCGCCUUCGCCACUGGUGUUCUUGCGAAUAUCUACGAAUUUCACCUCUACACUCGCAGUUCCACUCACCUCUCCCGGACUCAAGAUCUCCAGUAUCAAAGGCAGUUCCAAGGUUGAGCCCUGGCAUUUCACCCCUGACUUAAAGACCCGCCUACAUGCGCUUUACGCCCAGUAAUUCCGAACAACGCUAGCCCCCUUCGUAUUACCGCGGCGGCUGGCAC
This 292-nucleotide ribosomal RNA is filed under the name uncultured bacterium. RNAcentral describes it as "partial 16S ribosomal RNA". The record is from RNAcentral.